Molecule: long non-coding RNA, 209 nt
Filed under: Elaeis guineensis (African oil palm)
Lineage: Eukaryota; Viridiplantae; Streptophyta; Magnoliopsida; Arecales; Arecaceae
Description: long non-coding RNA (EGUI_LNC016338)
Source: RNAcentral
UCCCUUGAAAUUAAGAUAGCACCAAGUUACUUACCUUCCGAAUUAAAGAAAAUGCAUGUCAAUUAUCACUGUUGAUUCAAGGAUGACUAGCUAAAACUCAGGUCCCACAUGGACUAUUGCUGGCCAAUCUGAGCUCAACACAGCAUUGAGUUCGCAAUCAAUAUAUCCAAGUUGCAAUUCGCUUCAAUCGAGAGGAAAAAUAGACGAGA